GCAUGGGUUUUGAUUUACACCUGGGCCUCUCAUAGUACCCCAUGCCAGAGCAAACUGUGGCCCUGAACCAUUGCCUGGCCUCUGUGUCUAUAGGCUGCUAGCACUGAAGUGGGUUGCACAGAG
Molecule: small nucleolar RNA, 123 nt
Organism: Otolemur garnettii (small-eared galago)
Lineage: Eukaryota; Metazoa; Chordata; Mammalia; Primates; Galagidae
Source: Ensembl